RNAcentral lists this transfer RNA (73 nucleotides) under Stegodyphus mimosarum. It matches the Rfam family "tRNA". From Rfam's summary of the family: Transfer RNA (tRNA) molecules are approximately 80 nucleotides in length. Their secondary structure includes four short double-helical elements and three loops (D, anti-codon, and T loops). Lineage: Eukaryota; Metazoa; Arthropoda; Arachnida; Araneae; Eresidae. The record is from Rfam by way of RNAcentral.
GCCCUCGUGGUUUAAUAUUAGGCACGUACGGCUAACAAUCGAGAGGUCUGGAGUUCAAAUCUCGGCGAGGGCA